RNAcentral lists this ribosomal RNA (255 nucleotides) under Pediococcus pentosaceus. RNAcentral describes it as "partial 23S ribosomal RNA". It matches the Rfam family "Bacterial large subunit ribosomal RNA", at positions 1298 to 1550 of the family's 2925-position model. The record is from RNAcentral. Lineage: Bacteria; Bacillati; Bacillota; Bacilli; Lactobacillales; Lactobacillaceae.
CGGUAUGAGUAGCGAAAGAUAGGUGAGAAUCCUAUCCACCGUAUGACUAAGGUUUCCUGGGGAAGGCUCGUCCUCCCAGGGUUAGUCGGGACCUAAGCCGAGGCCGAGAGGCGUAGGCGAUGGAUAAUAGGUUGAUAUUCCUGUACUAGUUAAACUUGUUUGAACAAUGGAGGGACGCAGUAGGCUAAGGAAAGCACCCAGCUGGAAAAGGGUGUCCAAGCAGUAAGUCUGAAGUAGAGUCAAAUGCUUUACUUC